GAUGAACGCUAGCGGCCGGCUUAAUACAUGCAAGUCGAGGGGCAGCCUGGUGUAGCAAUACACUGAUGGCGACCGGCAAACGGGUGCGGAACACGUACGCAACCUUCCCGAAAAUGGUGAAUAGCCCUCCGAAAGGAGGAUUAAUACACCCUAACAUAGUGAAGCGGCAUCGCUUUAUUAUUAAAGUAGCAAUACGGUUUUGGAUGGGCGUGCGCCUGAUUAGAUAGUUGGCGGGGUAACGGCCCCCCAAGUUUACGAUCCGUAACUGGUGUGAGAGCCCGACCCGUCACACGGGCACUGAGACACGGGCCCGACUCCUACGGGAGGCAGCCGUAAGGAAUAUUGGUCAAUGGACGAAAGUUUGAACCAGCCCUGCCGCGUGAAGGAUGAAGGCCCUUUGGGUUGUAAACUUUUUUUAUAGGGGACGAAAAAAGGGAAUUUUUUUUCACUUGACGGUACCCUAGGAAUAAGCCCCGGCUAACUCCGUG
Molecule: ribosomal RNA, 488 nt
Filed under: uncultured bacterium
Lineage: Bacteria
Description: partial 16S ribosomal RNA
Rfam family: Bacterial small subunit ribosomal RNA
Source: RNAcentral